This 495-nucleotide ribosomal RNA is filed under the name uncultured bacterium. Its description in RNAcentral is "partial 16S ribosomal RNA". It matches the Rfam family "Bacterial small subunit ribosomal RNA", at positions 28 to 507 of the family's 1533-position model. The record is from RNAcentral.
GAUGAACGCUGGCGGCGUGCCUAAUACAUGCAAGUAGAACGCUGAAGGAGGAGCUUGCUCUUCUGGAUGAGUUGCGAACGGGUGAGUAACGCGUAGGUAACCUGCCUGGUAGCGGGGGAUAACUAUUGGAAACGAUAGCUAAUACCGCAUGACAACAGUUAUUGCAUGAUAACUGUUUAAAAGGGGCAACUGCUCCACUACCAGAUGGACCUGCGUUGUAUUAGCUAGUUGGUGAGGUAACGGCUCACCAAGGCGACGAUACAUAGCCGACCUGAGAGGGUGAUCGGCCACACUGGGACUGAGACACGGCCCAGACUCCUACGGGAGGCAGCAGUAGGGAAUCUUCGGCAAUGGACGGAAGUCUGACCGAGCAACGCCGCGUGAGUGAAGAAGGUUGUCGGAUCGUAAAGCUCGGUUGUAAGAGAAGAACGAGUGUGAGAGUGGAAAGUUCACACUGUGACGGUAGCUUAACAGAAAGGGACGGCUAACUACGUG